UGCCGGUGACAAACCGGAGGAAGGUGGGGAUGACGUCAAAUCAUCAUGCCCCUUAUGACCUGGGCUACACACGUGCUACAAUGGACGGUACAAAGAGCUGCAAGACCGCGAGGUGGAGCUAAUCUCAUAAAACCGUUCUCAGUUCGGAUUGUAGGCUGCAACUCGCCUACAUGAAGCUGGAAUCGCUAGUAAUCGCGGAUCAGCAUGCCGCGGUGAAUACGUUCCCGGGCCUUGUACACACCGCCCGUCACACCACGAGAGUUUGUAACACCCG
This 274-nucleotide ribosomal RNA is filed under the name Bacillus anthracis (anthrax bacterium). Its description in RNAcentral is "partial 16S ribosomal RNA". It matches the Rfam family "Bacterial small subunit ribosomal RNA", at positions 1150 to 1423 of the family's 1533-position model. Lineage: Bacteria; Bacillati; Bacillota; Bacilli; Caryophanales; Bacillaceae. The record is from RNAcentral. RNAcentral also lists the same sequence under 5 other names.